RNAcentral lists this unclassified non-coding RNA (2638 nucleotides) under Trichogramma pretiosum. Its description in RNAcentral is "suppressor of lurcher protein 1, transcript variant X2". The record is from RNAcentral. Lineage: Eukaryota; Metazoa; Arthropoda; Insecta; Hymenoptera; Trichogrammatidae.
UACACCUGCACAUGGACACCGACUGCCGAGUGAAAUACGUGUUGUGCCAACAUCGCCGCGCGUUCCGAGCCUCCAGUGCGAGAGAGAGGAAAAUCGCUCUAAGCUGGCCUACGUGUGUAUUUACUAUGGUAUAUAUCCGCAGCGACGUCAAAGAAGAGAACAGAAAGAGCCAGAGAAAUUCAUGCUGCAGAGGGAUUUAUACGAGUAUACCGCAAAACGAUGGGGGAUCGAUGUGACGUUGGAAAGUUUUGAUCGCACAGCUCCGACUUUAUUGCACGCAUCUUUACAACCGAAAACGACUCGCACAUGCACAGAAGGCUGCUAUUCUUCUGCUGUUGGCUGCUGUUCCUCGAUCUCUGCCGCACAGUCAAUCCAGGCUGUUCCUGCAUCAUCUUCAGCAGUCGUUACAAUCCCCAAGGUGGUACUUUCACGUCGCCGGACUAUCCAAAACGUUAUCCAUCCCGAGUCGACUGUUUGCUGUACACAUUUCAAGGCACAGCCGACGAGAUCGUCGAGUUGACGUUUCAUCAUUUCGAUACACGCAGCACAUAUCCCGACUGCAACAGGGGAGAUUUUCUCAAAGUUUUUCUACACUUGGAGCCAGACGAGCGCGGCGUUAACGAAUACACGCCUUGGUCCGGUCUUCUCUGCGGUACGCUGGCCGACAUACCGCAAGUGCUCUACAGCUCGGGACCGACAUUGAUAUUCGAGUUUCACGCCGAGCCCAGCGUCAAAAAAACCAAUGUUACGAGUCCCGGCUUUUCUGGAAAUUUUCGUUUCAUCGAUAAGCGUAUAUUCGAGUCGGACGGCCAGCCAGUGCCGAACAAGAUGUGCGACUACCAAUUCGUCAGCUCGCAGUACACACCACAGCACGGACGCUUCUACUCGCCACGCUAUCCGUCUUCCUAUCCUGAAAAUGUCCACUGCGUUUAUCAAUUUCGUGCGAGGAGCAAGGAGCGCAUACGAGUGGUCUUCGAGAAGCUGUCGCUGCAGAAGGGGGACGUCAGCUGCCUGAACAGAGCAGACUUGAUCAGGGUGUACGACGGCAGCGACCAAGCCUACCCGGCCAUAGCGGUAUUGUGCAACGAAGACUCCGAGGUCGAAAUCCUUAGCACCGGGCCAGAUUUGCUGGUCGAUUUUGUGGCCAAUUCCAAAUGGCCGGGCCAGGGAUUCAAGGCAACUUUUCAGUUUCAACCGGUCGACGAUCACGUCACAGAAACGGACAAGCAGCUGCCCGUGGUCCCCGGGGUGGUGGCGUCGUCGAACAGCGCCAAGUACUCGUUCAUCGGGCCGGCAGUCAGCGCCACAACAUCCUCGUGCGACAUGGUAUUCAAUAGCGACACAACAAAAUCGGGUGUGGUCACGUCGCCCGGCUAUCCGAAUCCGUAUUCUGCUCGGACGCGCUGCAGAUACGACUUCCAGGGACGUGGCAAGGAGAGGAUACAGAUCAUUUUUCAAGUAUUCGACGUUUAUCGACCGCCCGAGGGUACCAAAGAAUGCGAAUCGACGGACUCGCUGGUGGCCUACGUGCAAAUAGACGGCAAAAUGGAGAAGAUCGACUCGUUCUGCGGAGAAUCAGCGCCAAGGCCACUGAUGAGCAACGGGCCUCGGCUGCUGCUGGAAUUCCGCGGCCUCACCGCAUCUAGGCACGCCCGCGGUUUCAAGGCCACUUACUCGUUUCUCGAGAAUUUCGGAAUAACGACGGGUAAGCAGGAGCUUUCCUAUCCCUGCGCCUUUGUGUACAACAGCAACGAGACGAUGAACGGCACGUUCACCUCGCCGAAUUAUCCGGGAUAUUAUCCGCGCGAUACCGAGUGCCAUUACUUCUUCAACGGACAGCCCAAGGAGCGAGUUCAUCUGCACUUUCAUUACUUCGACGUCGAGGGCGUAUUGCCGUGCGACUCGGUAUCAGCCAGCGACUACGUGGACUUUUCGAAUUACUUGUCGCGCGAUCGCAAGUACUCGCGUCACUGCGGCCAAUUGACCGAGUUCGACGUCGAGUCGGAUCGCUCGUUCUUUCGCGUGACGUUCAAGAGUAACGACCGGCUGGAUGGCACGGGAUUCAACGCGAGUUAUCAGUUUGUCAGCGAAGAGGACAAUUAUACGGUCAAGACGCCGUUGAGCAGCAGCGCCGCAGCAGCCAUUGACUACUCGACUACUCCUCAGGCCGGCUAUUAUUGCUGUUUCUCGUCGCUGAUGGCACUCGUUCUUUUAUCACUUCUGCCAGGCCAAUUUCAGCCGAUGACGAAUGAAAUAGCCUACUGAUUAUGACAUGCAUGCAUAGCACUAUGACAAUUCAUCUCCGUGCAGGCUGGAUGACGUAAAAAAACAAUGUGUACACGAAUCAAAAACGCAGCCGAAGUAGAAGAGUGAGAGACAAGACAUUAUUUGAAAAUGUAGAUGUUGUAUGAGAUAAAAGGAGAAAAAAAUAUCACCCCCUGUGUUUGCUCAUGCAUUUUUGUUGUACAAUGAAUGGAAUUUGGUGGACGACAGGAGAGAAAGAGUAAAAAAAAUCAUUGUGUUCGUAUAUAAUAAAAUUGAGUACUUGUAUGGUCUGAGAGAAAUAUUCAAUACAUUACCUGAUCUGAACACACAACUUUUAAAAAUUAUGCAUCAGUUUUAUUUACAACAGUAAAUA